GACGAACGCUGGCGGCGUGCCUAAUACAUGCAAGUAGGACGCUGAAGGAGGAGCUUGCUUCUCUGGAUGAGUUGCGAACGGGUGAGUAACGCGUAGGUAACCUGCCUGGUAGCGGGGGAUAACUAUUGGAAACGAUAGCUAAUACCGCAUAAUAGUAGAUGUUGCAUGACAUUUGCUUAAAAGGUGCAAUUGCAUCACUACCAGAUGGACCUGCGUUGUAUUAGCUAGUUGGUGGGGUAACGGCUCACCAAGGCGACGAUACAUAGCCGACCUGAGAGGGGGAUCGGCCACACUGGGACUGAGACACGGCCCAGACUCCUACGGGAGGCAGCAGUAGGGAAUCUUCGGCAAUAGACGGAAGUCUGACCGAGCAACGCCGCGUGAGUGAAGAAGGUUGUCGGAUCGUAAAGCUCUGUUGUAAGAGAAGAACGAGUGUGAGAGUGGAAAGUUCACACUGUGACGGUAUCUUACCAGAAAGGGACGGCUAACUACGUG
RNAcentral lists this ribosomal RNA (495 nucleotides) under uncultured bacterium. Its description in RNAcentral is "partial 16S ribosomal RNA". It matches the Rfam family "Bacterial small subunit ribosomal RNA", at positions 28 to 507 of the family's 1533-position model. The record is from RNAcentral.